This 489-nucleotide ribosomal RNA is filed under the name Triticum aestivum (bread wheat). RNAcentral describes it as "partial small subunit ribosomal RNA". The record is from RNAcentral. Lineage: Eukaryota; Viridiplantae; Streptophyta; Magnoliopsida; Poales; Poaceae.
AUGUUCAUAAUUACCUCAUCUGCUUUUAGGGAUCUGGUCUCAGUUCUGUCUACCUCUGCCUUUGCAGACAAGGCGGCCGGCCUCACCAACGGCCUUGUGGAUUCAUCAGAGACAACGGAUGAUGUCCACCUCCCUGGGUUCCUCUCAGCAGCAAUGGUUCAAGGUGUUGGUUCUUACUCCAAAGAUCCUGUUAGCACACAUUCAACCACAACCCGAUCGUCGGUGUAUUUUCUUGAUGUGGAUUGGAGUGGUUCCUUGAAGUUUUUGUUUGUUGAGAACCCAACUAAGAAUUACCCAUGGACUGGACAUGUUGUUAAACCUUUCAAGCCAUUUGGUAUUUUUCCUGUUCAACUUUUUAAUGUCACUUUUUUUCCAGUGUAUGGUAUAUUUUUGUUGAAUUUGGCUUGUCUUGAAUUAUUUUGUGUCUUCAGAUUUAGACGCUAUGCACAAGUGUGCUGCUCGGCUUAUUAUCAAUGCCUUUCCUGUUGA